Molecule: long non-coding RNA, 244 nt
Filed under: Elaeis guineensis (African oil palm)
Lineage: Eukaryota; Viridiplantae; Streptophyta; Magnoliopsida; Arecales; Arecaceae
Description: long non-coding RNA (EGUI_LNC029113)
Source: RNAcentral
CUCCUCCUUUAUACAUGGGCCUUGCUGUUUUCGCACUACUAAGCCUCCUUUGUUGGUUGGCGAGCACGUUUACUAGGAAUCACUCUGACCUUUUUAAUUCAUCCAAUCAGUUGCCAUUGAUGAAUUUAUACAAGGAUGUGGUUUUCUUUCUCGUUAAGGCCUAAAUCGCCCGUUCCUUUGGCGAUCGUGGCAAUUAAUUAAUUAUUUCGAUGUGCUUCGGUAAUCCUAUGGAACAAGAUAAUCU